UUAAGUGACUAAGCGUACACGGUGGAUGCCUGGGCAGUCAGAGGCGAUGAAGGACGUACUAACUUGCGAUAAGCGCAGAUAAGGCAGUAAGAGCCGUUUGAGUCUGCGAUUUCCGAAUGGGGAAACCUAACUGCAUAAGCAGUUACUGUUAACUGAAUACAUAGGUUAACAGAGCAAACCGGGGGAACUGAAACAUCUAAGUACCCCGAGGAGAAGAAAUCAACCGAGAUUCCGGUAGUAGCGGCGAGCGAACCUGGAUUAGCCCUUAAGCACUCGGUGAAGUAGGUGAACAAGCUGGAAAGCUUGGCGAUACAGGGUGAUAGCCCCGUAACC
Molecule: ribosomal RNA, 333 nt
Filed under: Vibrio cholerae HE39
Lineage: Bacteria; Pseudomonadati; Pseudomonadota; Gammaproteobacteria; Vibrionales; Vibrionaceae
Description: bacterial LSU rRNA
Rfam family: Bacterial large subunit ribosomal RNA
Source: RNAcentral